CAGUAGCCACUAGAGGAGCUUGCUAUUUCUUCCAAGGGCAAUAGGGAGGUGACACAUGGCCAGUGUACAUUUUGAAAACUGGAGAGGAGGAGGGUAAGUGUGGGUCAUGAGCUUUGGCAAUUGUCCCAAGAAACCCUCAAAGUCACAGUUACUUCCUGUCCCUGGGAGGAAGUGGAAGGAGCUUUCCUAGGGAGGGCUGGCUUCCAGGGAGUUCCAUGUGUUUAUGCCUGUACGUGAGUAUGCACCUGUUUGUCAGUGUGUGGGUGCACACUGCAUGCACGUAGAUGUGUGCGCAGAGGGUGUCUCAGCUCUAGCAGCAGGGUGUGCAGUGGGGACCAAGGUCAUGAAGACUUUCCUCCUCCCAGCCUGUGUGGUCUAGCUCCUCUUUCUCCUGGGGUGAUAAGUGCUGUGCCAGGUGGGGGAGACAUGGAUGGAGAGGACAGCCAUUUCUGCAUGCAGCUGCAGACCAAGGCACAGCCAGUAUCGUGUGUCCCUUGGCCCCACUCUGGAGUGCAUGCCUCCUCUGGGAUCAUUGUGGGAAGAAGGGGCCCAAGAAGGUGGGGUGAAGUGUGUGCAUCCGGGGAGGGAAUGCCUAGCCCCUGGAGGACUUCGGUCAGACCCUCAUCUCUUGGUUUUAGCCUCUUCCUGCUGUCCACCCCCUCCCCCCAAUUAAGCAGUGCCUCCUCUCAGUGCCGGCAUAAAUGAACCAGAACAUACCCUUGGUGUGCGGCUCUUUUCUUGGCUCCCACCCUACUUUGAGGGACAGAUCCUUCGGGUCUGGCCAGCACUGCCUGACAUCUGGACUCUUCCUUAGACCGGGCCUGGCUGUUUUGUCCUGAUUUCUGACUUGUUUCCUUCCUCAACACAGCUUUGCCUGUGAGUUCCUGGUUUCUGUAGACAGGCCCCAAGGCCCCAGCUUCCUGUUCUCAGCAAGGCGCCCUUGACAUUCCGGGCCUCAGAACAUCCUUGAGAUAUUGAGUCAGAGCCACGGUCCUGGUCAGGGCCGCUCACGUUAGAGCACCCUGUGGCCGGGCACCGAUUCCUUUGCUUUAUGGCCUUACAUUCCGUGAUCUGCAGGAUCACCACACUCCACAGGGAGAACACCCUGCGCCACUCUGUGCUGGGUGGCACAACAUUGCAGUACCCAUGUCUGUCACAAGAGUGGGCAGGAGCAGAUAGGUUACUCCUGGCCAUGGGUCCCCUUCAGCAGCAGCAGCGGCAGUACAUGGGAGGUGCAAACCAGUUUCAAACUCCCUGAAUCCCAAGCCCUAACCUGGAGGCCACAUGGCUUCCCAGAGUCCCAGGUCACCCAAGAUCCACUCAGGAAGGGAUGAAGAAUCCAAAAUGGAAGGUCCCUUUCUUCAAGUAGAAGAUCAUCUUUCAUUUUUUCUUUUCUUUUUGGUUUUUGUUGUUGUUGCUUUGUGGUUUUUUUGUUUUUGUUUUUGUUUUUUUUUAAAGACAGUUUCUCUGUGCAGCCCUCAUUCCUCACUCUGUAGAUCAGGCUGGCCUCAAACUCAGAGAUCCGCCUGCCUCUGCCUCCUGAACGCUGCGCCAACCGCUGUCCGACUUAUCCGUGUCAUUUUUAAAGGCAGGCAACAUAUGGGUGAUGGUAUCUGUCGUGUACACAGAGCCCCAUAGCCUGCAUGAAGGCCCACGCCAGUCCCCAGGUUAGCACUGGUGUGCUGCUGACUGGCAAGGGGGUGUGACCUGAGGCACGCGACAUCUUCUUUCCCAAGGCAGCUUGCCAGUCACAUCCCACCAGCUUCCCCCACACACUUCCUCCUUCGUGGCUGUCCCUGAGCCGAGAGGCUGAGCCCUGGGGAGCCCCAUGUCCCGAGCGCUGCACAAGCUUGCUUUCUGGUUGCAUUGGAUCCAGGCAGCCACAGCCAGCCAGAGGCUGAAGGACAGGCUGAGAGUGGCCACGGCAGGUGCUAGCAAAGUCUUAAGAAUCAGCUUUCAGGGCCAGCAAGGUGGCAAAGGUGGCAAAGGUGCCUGUGGCCAAACCCGAGGCCCUGAGUUCAAUCCCUGGAAGCCAAUGGCAGAAGGAGAGAAUGGGCUCCUACAAGCUGUCCUCUGACUCACACACACAUGCCAUUCUGCAGUAAUUAAUAAAAAUCAGUAAGAAGGGUAGAAAAGCAAGACCUGGCUUCUGGGGUGUUGAAGACAGCUGUACGGUGUGCGGCUUCCCGUGGAGUAACAGCCACCUUACUGCCGAGUUACGUGACCAGAGUAGCACCUGGGGCUUCUGAAGGGCACAGUAGAACAGAGAUUCCGUGCACUCAAAAGACAGAGCCCUGAGAGACCAGGAGACUCCAGGUGGGGGGAAAAGGGGUGGGACCCAUCGUUAAUGUUUAGUUUGUGCAUUUAACCUUUAAUAGCAGGCGUAUGUAACAACUGACUCAAGAAGACUCCUGGACACUUUACAAUGGGACCUGGAUGCCGGGCCUGAACAAGCUGGCUGUCCCCAGAGCUCAUGACAUUUGAUCUUCAACCCAAGGACAGCCCAUGCUUCCUGUGGUUGCUGUCUUUUGGUUUGUCGGUGCCUCUGUCCCCUGUUGGGCUCCUUGGAGGGAGCUUGCUUGCAAGCAGACGGAUGGAAGCCCACCUGACCUGUCUAGCUGUGGCCACUUCCUCCUUCCCAGCUCAGCCUUUGCUGUGAGAGCUCGGAGUGAAUGCCUUUGAGACCAAACAACAGGAAACCACGAAGCAGGGGUACAUUGGAGGUGUGAGGCCAGGAACAGGAGCACACCAGGAUGAAGGAGCACACCAGGAUGAAGGAGCACACCAGGAUGAAGGAGCACACCAGGAUGAAGGAGCACACCAGGAUGAAGGAGCACACCAGGAUGAAGGAGCACACCAGGAUGAAGGAGCACACCAGGAUGAAGGAGCACAGGCCCUACUUGUCAAGCCUGCUGACUUGGGCUGCUCAGGCUUCUGGUCUUUCAGCCCGGACAGGGGGUAACUGUUCUCUGGGGAUGGAGCUGUGAACGAGGCAAGAACUCAGUUCACAACAGAGCCAACAGAACUCAGAGAGGCACGAGGCACCAGCCCAAGUACUGCCUAAGAAAGAGGGAUGGGGACCCAGGUGGUGCCGAGCUGCGGUGGUCCUUCGGGUGCUAUAAACGCUCAGAUCACCCCGUCUCCUGUAACUCCACGUCUGUGCUCCCAAGAGGAAGAGCAUCAAGCUCAGUGCUCCGUGAGGCUGGAUGUGGAUGGAUUCUGUCUGGUCCUCUCCGGCCUGGGGGGACAUCAGAGCACAGGCUGGUGAGCCGGCCCUGUGGGUGAAGACAGUUCACCUACCCGAUGGCCUGAACUGACUUCCACAGGUGUCCUCCGAUCUGACUGCUACCCCUGUGCUCUGUCUGCAUCCUCUCCUGGUAACUAAAACUAUCAUUAAAACCCUUUUAAAAGCUGUCAUCGUUUUCUAAUGGCAGAAGACACUGAUUUUCUCAUCUAGAGGUUAGGAAAAAAAUGGCUUUCUUAUGAGACUGGCUUUCUUCUUCAUCUGAAUCCUGCUAUCUAAGGAGCACACUGUUCAGUAGCCUGUGUGUGUGUGCUCUCCCCCUGAAUACGUAUCCGUUACGACCUCUCACUAGUUCUUCCCUGGGGAAGAUCAAGAUGAAGACAACCCAUUCACCCCCACACCAAGUACUACUUUGGCUAUCCAGCCCACGCAGCUCUAGGUUUCACACCACGCAUAGGAUAAGAAUAUUAAGCUGGAUGACCUCUGCUCUUGUAUGCAUACAAGAUAGAUAGAUCUCAUGUGGAAUACAUGAACAUCUGCUCUAGAUGUUAUUGAAGGACCAGCUGCAUCUGAGCUCUAUUUUAUUGGAAGGCUAGCACAGGAAAGACGGGCUCUUUCUAUCACAAAAGCUAUUGGACAUUUCAAAGAGCAAGGUUAAACCGUUCAAGAACACUGACCGCAAGUUGAUAGAAGCCUGUCGCUGGCUAACUGACAUUAAAUAGGUUAAAAGUAAUGUUUCUUCCUACAAAUUUCUCCUGUAGGUGAGGUCAUGGCCCAGCUAGGAUGUGCUGGAAAAUGUGCAUAGAAGGGUAGGCAGCAAGCAAGCAGAUCAGGGCUCACAGGAUGGCUCAGCCGAGGCUCGCCGCCUGGUUUCUAUCCCUGGGAGCCACAUAGAAGGAGACAAGUGACUUCUGCAAGUUGUCCUCUGACCUCACAAAUGCCAUGGCAUCUGAGUGUCCCCACACAUGCAUAGAUGGAAAAAUACAUAAAGGACAAAGCACACCAAUCACGGAAGCAAAUGGAAGAUAUGAAUCGCUCUGAAAAGUCUUGCUCCUGAUCUAUUCAAAACAAAACAAAACAAAACAAAAGAUUCCCUGGAAAAUUAAUGCAACAGGACCCACGGCAGAAUUCAAAUAAAAUACAUUCUAGUCUCUCUCCCUUAAAACCACAAAGCUGCAAACCUGGGCUGCACUGUGACGUAUAUCCACAGGUUGCAAGAUUCACAGAUAGUGGACAUGGCUUUGUCCAAAGGCUCCUUGGAGGCCAGUGAGCUCUGGCUGAGAUAAAGCAUAGGCACACAGCUGGGACACCCUGCUCUGCUCUGUAUCUUCUGGGCUUCUGCCAAGGGUCCUGCUGGCCAUAGGUGUAUUUCCUCUUGAGCCAGCCUAGGAUUCACUCCAAGCCUCCUGCUCAGAAGCACUCGGGGGUCUGCCUCGGUUGGCAGCAGCACGACCUUGGCUUUAGCCUUUGUUUCACAAACUGUAAAAUGCGGGAGCUGCUCAGGCUUGGCCAACCUUGGUGCGAUGCUUCGUAUGUUUUCUAAUGCGUGUACUCACGCUGCCCUUGUAGCUGUGCAGUGACACAUCAUGUGUGCAUGUGGCGGCCAGAAGCUGACGAGCAUCUUUCACUGUCCCUCCACCUUAUCUUCUGAGGUCUCUCUGAACUUACUGACUGGAUAGGCAGCUGACUGGUGAGCUACAGGGAAUCCUGGGGUCUCUGCCUGCCCAGUGCUAGGGUUAUAGGUGUGUGUCAUCAGGCCUCACUUUUAUGUGGGCCAUGGGGGUCCAAAUUCAGGUCCACAUGUCUACAUGGCAGGCACUUUAGCCAUGGAGCCAAAUUUUCUAUCCCCUCACCCUUUUCUGAGAGAAAAAGCAACAAGAACUUAUUAAUACCAUUGCUUUCAGUCACCUGGUUUUCAGUCUUGGAUUACAUUCAAGGACAUGAAAUACUUAAUCCUUACGCUCAGAGGUGAUGUGAAAACUCUAACAGUGACUACCCAAGGCUGAUGCCAGGCACCUGGCCACCAGUGCGUUUGGAUUUGGGUCUGUGAUCCUGGAUCAGGCCUGAACAUCAGUUCAGUCAACCUGAAUGAGAUCCACGGAAGGGAGAGGGGAGGGACCCUCUGAACCCGUAGAGAGCCACUGUUGGGAAAGCCGACCAGCGCUGGGAGAGCCAAGGAGCUUUGGGAGGAGGGAGAGUGGCAGCUCCAUGUCCCCAGCUCUGUAUCCCUAGCUCUAUGAACCCCUAGUUUCUGUUCUUCCACAGUUCUGCGGUCCCUGUGAGCUCCACGCCCUCCCCAGCUCCGAAUCCCUCUCCAGCUCUGUGCCUCUCACUAGCUCAGUGUUCUGGAAACCUGGAGUUGGUCUGUGUGGGCCGAUGUGGGUCUGGGUAGAUGGUUUUCGCCGGCGAGGGAGAAGCUCCUAACCAAACCCCACUCCUACGCACCCUUUGGAGAAGGCACUCGAGUCGCAGCAGUGCCACCUGGUGGCGGUGAGGAGGACAGCACCUACUAUGAUCAGGUAGCCUGGGAAGGGGCCAGAGCUGUCUACCACAGGGGCUGUGUUCAUUCCAUCCCCGUCUUCCCACCAACCCUCAUUUCAUUUAGAUCCCCUAAAGCCCUGGGGUGGGGGGCACGCCAGGAACAUCACUCAGGAUGGAAGUGGACAUUUUCCACCACAAAAUGUCUGCAGAUGUGGGAAGUGGCCCAGUGACCAAGAAGGGAAGUGUGAUUACUGAGAAGUGCUUUAGAAUCAGCAAGAGCUUCCUGUGACAGGUCUCAGUAAGGACCAGAGCUCCACCCGGGGCCCUCCAAGGUUAAGGUUAGGGCCAUGGUGGGAUGUGAACAGGUCGGAAGAAUACACACCAAAGGGAAGCUGAGGUUUGGGCAGUGACUGGAGGGCUGGCGGCAGGUUGAGGACACGGUGGAAGGGCUCGAGGGACACACUGUGAAGGGUGGUCAGCAAGCUGAUGCAGACAGUAGUUAGGCAGCAUGAGGGUGCCCUGCAGAGCAGAUGCAGAGAAGAUGCCCCACUCCCAGCUGCUCCCAAGGGCCCGCUGCAGCAGGGCCUGCUCUUUGGCUGAGUGUUUCUGUAAGCUGAAGCUAAACCAAGAUAGCCACACAGUGCUAAAGACUUAACAAUGCGGAGCAACAGCACCUCCUGACUGUGGAAAGCUGGAACAUCGCAGAUCAGAGGCAAACCGUCCUUGCCUUUAAUCUGACUGCAGCAUGUUCAAUGCAGUUCCUAGGUUUGACCUAGUAACCUUGUGACUAUCCAAACCUUUAACAUGUAUUAAGAAAUAUCAUUACAUUUUCAUUUUUUAUUUGUGUGUGUGCUCUGACACAUAUGUGGAGGUCAGGGGACAAUGUGUGGGAGCAGAUUCUAUUAGGUAGGUCCUAGACGCAGGUUCUGAUAACCUCGGUGCCUGGAGUUGUUGUCUUGCCCUAAAUGCUUUAUAACUACCAGUUCCCACUGAUCAAGAAGGCAAGAAUGGUUUCAGCACCCGGACCACUCUCAUCAGGUUUCCUGCAUUGCUGGAGUGUGUUUGGCAAGUUGCUUUAUGACUUAGCUCUAUAAUAAAUUCACAUACGAACACUUUCAGGGCGGUGGUGUAUUCAGGGCAACCUGAGGCCAUGUCCCUUGGGCCAUAGACACAUCUGGCUCAAGUAUAAACAGUCUUUAAUUCUCGCCUUUGAGGUGAAAGCUGUUUUCUGUUGACAUUUCUACCUAGGCCAGGGUUGAGCCUGGGAUCAUAGAGUCCAGUCAACCUAGGGAGGCCACCCUGGGAAGUUCUAGAAGAUGCUAUCAGGAAAGACAGGGGACAAGCAUGUCCAACCGAGAGUAGCACUGUUCCUGCUGAUGUGUGAUAUGCUCACAGAUGUGCGUGUACAAAUGUGGAUGCACACACGGAUAUACUUACUACAUGUGCUCCAGGUCACAAGCAUACCUGCCAAUGCAACCCAAGUGUAGCCAAGCCCUUCUCACAGCUGUGUGGACAUGCGGAGACACACACUGCCACAUAUACAUACACACAUAGCCACACACACAGCCACACACACAUAUAUACACACACACAUACAUAACCACACACAGCCACAUCCACCUCUCCCCUGCUCUUUAUCCUGCACCUAUGAUUUCAUCCACUGUCCCUGGUGGGCUGGCUGGGGAACAUGACACCACAAACACAUCAGAGCAGAGCUGAGCCUUGCUGGGACGCUAAUCUUGAAGAAAAGUACACAGUGAAGUAGACUUAAAGGUGUACAGUGAACAAUCAUGUUUAAUGCUUACAGAACAAAUCUGUUCUUUACCGUUCAGUUCAUUAUGAACUGGGAUCUCAUUUAAACCCUGUAAGCCAACUCUGGCCUCAAGCAGCAGCAGCAUCCCUGAGGUGCCAAACACACCCUGUGCACGGCACAAACUCUCUCUAGUCUGAGCUUUAAGCUGCGGUAUUAGCCACAGUACAGAUCUUAGUCCUCUCCCAAAUAGAGAGAACAUGACUGUCAGCUCUUCAUACUCCAAAAGGUCUGUGCUCUGGGCUGUGUCCUGGGUGGCCUGUGGUGGCAUCUGUAGAGCUUUCUGAAGGCACAGGCUGUGGGGGAGCAGCACAGUGGGAUCCCCGGAACCCCAGCACCCAGUCCGCCACCGCCUCCUAGCAGUGAGUGGGCCACCACAGUGACAGCCAAGGUGUGGCCUCCUGAGUGCCUGCUGAGGUCAGAGGACAGCACCGCUGUGGCCUCCCUGAAAAGGAUUCUGUGGUAAGUAAGCCUGGCCCAUCAGAACACAGCCUCCUUUCUAAGAAGGGGCCCAAGCUUUGGGAAGGCUGUCCCUAGAGUUUGCUGUUGUUCUGGAACUGGGCUACCAGGCUGAGGAUCUGCUCGGAAGCUUUGAUGUUCUUGGAGCCCAGGUAGGAGAUACUGUUGGGGCCUGUCUCCUCCAGGUAGUAGCGGUAGUUGACCAUGAGGCCGCAUGAGCUGGUGAGGCCUUUGAGGCUGCUGUCAGCCAUCCAGUUGAUACGCCACAUCACAGCCCCAUUCUGCAGAUGGAAGUUGGCCACUGGGUUGAGGGCGUAGCCUCGGUGCUUCUCACCGUACAGGUACCAGGCACACAGCCUCAUUAGUGGCCCCUGCAGCGCCUGCGUCAGCUUCUCUGACUUCACCCACUCACCACUGCUCAGGAACCCCUUGAGGCUCUCGUGAACAGGGUUGCCGGUAACCGCUGAGAUUUCUUGGCACUCUGAGUCUGUGAAUAGUUCGUUCCUCCCAUGCUCCUUCCCCUGCACAUUCAGGAGGCCCAGCAGCCACUUGGUGAAUCCAGGGAUAGGCGACAGGCUUGAAAAGGCCCCCAGCUGAGGAAAUUCCUUCUGCAGCUCCUUGACCACUCUCUUUAUGAGGAAGGUCCCGAGCUCCACCCCCUGCAGGCCCUGCUGGGUCAGGCUGAUGGAGUAGAAGAUGGCAGCGGCGAUCCUGUUCCUCUCCUCGGUUUCAGUCGGAGGGCACUCCUUCACAAUGCCCUAGAAAACACCAACAGCGACAUCAGAAAGGCUCCAUGUGCACUGCUCACACUGAGGGCCACCUUGUCACAUUCACAGGACAAGUCCCUUGGCACCAAAGUACUGCAGGAGAAUUGAGUCCCUGCUCCUAUGCUCCUGGUUGCUCAGGUUCAGGCCAUCUGUUCUGAAUACUCUGGAGGUGACCAUCUCACUCUCUCUGCCUACCAUCUGGAGACGCCAUGUCAGCUCUGCUCAACAGCAGCACCUUUGGUCUUUGCAGGCAGCGCCGGGGUAAGCUGCUUUGUACUCUGAGCCUCUGUCAAGGGUAAUGGCUACACGGGCUUUCUUUAAGAGCCCAGUCCCCUGCCCACUGCUAUCUACGCCUUUGCUCAGCUUGCAUUUCUGUUCUAGAAGGCCACAGGCAGUCCUUUCUCAAAAUGUACCCUUUAAAGGAUUUUCUGUGCUCUUUAGCCUCAUGCGGCAUCCUUAUUUUUCCUAGUGAAAACCUAUUCACAGACACCUCCACAAGCAAGCUAAGAAAUGAGUUCUGCUGUGAGUAUCUCAGUGGCACCAACUUCAUUGGCUCCCAGUUUUUACUACAUGUGUGGUGGGUUUUUUUUUUUCCUGUUUUGUUUUGUUUGAGACAGGGCUUUUCCUGUAGCCCACCCUGUCCUGGGACUCUCUUUGUAGACCAGGCUGGACUUGAACUCACAGAGCCCUGCCCCUGCUUCCGAGUGCUGGAGUUAAAGGAGCGUGCUACCACUGCCCAGGUCACCAAGGAGUUUUAAGCUGAGUCUCUGAAGACUGCUGGGGACAGCAUACCAUGACACAGAUGGCGUCUGGGACCCUGAGAAGUAGGAGACACAUCUUUCCAGGGGACCCGCCAUCAGAAAUAAGGAACUACCCGCAGCAGGCCUAGAUAGUGACAUCUCAGAAGCCCUCAGGCAAUUCAUUUGUAAAAAUGUCGUUCUUAUUUCUCCUAAUGUUAGCCCUGGACCCUGGCUGCAUAGAUUUCAUUUGUGUGUGACUGUCA
Mus musculus (house mouse) is the source of this 9764-nucleotide long non-coding RNA. RefSeq annotates it as predicted gene, 32006. NCBI's taxonomy places the organism in Eukaryota, Metazoa, Chordata, Mammalia, Rodentia, Muridae. The transcript is spliced from 4 exons. The record is from RefSeq and is a predicted model, not a curated record.